GUAGGGAAUCUUCGGCAAUGGACGGAAGUCUGACCGAGCAACGCCGCGUGAGUGAAGAAGGUUUUCGGAUCGUAAAGCUCUGUUGUAAGAGAAGAACGAGUGUGAGAGUGGAAAGUUCACACUGUGACGGUAUCUUACCAGAAAGGGACGGCUAACUACGUGCCAGCAGCCGCGGUAAUACGUAGGUCCCGAGCGUUGUCCGGAUUUAUUGGGCGUAAAGCGAGCGCAGGCGGUUAGAUAAGUCUGAAGUUAAAGGCUGUGGCUUAACCAUAGUACGCUUUGGAAACUGUUUAACUUGAGUGCAAGAGGGGAGAGUGGAAUUCCAUGUGUAGCGGUGAAAUGCGUAGAUAUAUGGAGGAACACCGGUGGCGAAAGCGGCUCUCUGGCUUGUAACUGACGCUGAGGCUCGAAAGCGUGGGGAGCAAACAGGAUUAGAAACCCCAGUAGUCCC
RNAcentral lists this ribosomal RNA (451 nucleotides) under uncultured bacterium. Its description in RNAcentral is "bacterial SSU rRNA". It matches the Rfam family "Bacterial small subunit ribosomal RNA", at positions 354 to 797 of the family's 1533-position model. The record is from RNAcentral.